This 24-nucleotide non-coding RNA is filed under the name Arabidopsis thaliana (thale cress). The record is from RNAcentral. Lineage: Eukaryota; Viridiplantae; Streptophyta; Magnoliopsida; Brassicales; Brassicaceae.
CGAGCAGGCUCCAGCUGGACUGCA